GGUUUCAUUGUGGGUCAGUAAUUAGUAGUAGUGAGGCCCAGCAGGUGCAGAGAGUUCCAUUUGGGCAGUAACAUCAGUAUGAGGCAGAGGUUGGUGUAGAGUGAGGGAUGGCAGUUUUCAGUACCCGUGAACAGGUAAAGCGGCUGUAUUUGUUUAGGAAAGCAUGCUCUUAGGAAUCCAGUCAUAUCCAGGCACAGGGAUUAACCGAAAAGACUAAAAAACUUAAGAAGUAAUUUCCCUGAAUGUUUGGCCGGUCCCUUCGGAGGAUUCCAGUGCAGUCGGUCCUGGGGAACGUGGGCGGAGCUGUCCUACUGGCUGAGCGGAUCCCACGUGGGGACUGACAGGUUUAGCAGAAGCAUCACACCGCUCUUUACUGAGCAUUCCUCUCUCACCCGCCGCUUCUCUCACCUUCUACUUCCCUCCCUCCUUUCUAUUCCCCAAACACCGUUCCGGUCCCUCCCCCGCUCCCACCAGCUCUCACUCUGCCUCCGGCACCCGGCGGACUAGCUGAGCGUCCCCAGCAUGGAGCCAACCCGGCCUGUGAAAUUCUAUCAAUUUGCUGCCUCCGCCACAAUCGAGAGCACACAAUAAUUGGUGGGAAUUUCCUGCUCGGGGCUGAUCAUCGUCUGCUAAGCACUCUUGUUUCUCGGUCGAAGGCAGAUAAACAGAUUAUUCCAUCUAUUCUAGCCCAGAACUUCUGCGGGGGGAACUGAACAUUGAAGUGUGUCCAGUUUGGUAUAUUUUUUUAAUUGAUCAUUCAGCGUGACAAGCUCAACCUAAACCUCUGCAUUUCAGAUCAAGGUUUGGAAUGGAUGCGAUGCUGGACUUUUGAAGGACAUUUUAAACAACAUUCAGAAUCCAGCUAACAAACCAGGAUCAGAGUAAACGAACACACGGCUUGAAGCUUGCAACGCCUCGGGACUUGAUCAGAGCCUCUCUGCUGUCCAAGUACAUCUGUGGAUACCGGGCUAGCCAUCCCUCCUUAACGAGGUGAGGAGGAUCCCGCGAGAGCUGCGACCGAAGGGAGAGACGCUGCACUAUCAAGAAGGAGCUUGGAGAGAGUGUUGCAGUGGGGAGUAUUGCUGAAUCUUUUGCCAGAAAACUCUCCUUUACUGAAGCACCAAUCCUCUUACAUGAAUGGACCCUGUGAGUUUUGGUGAACAGUGCAUUUGAAGAUAUUGAUUGUCUACACUGAAUCCUUGAAAUAAG
Xenopus laevis (African clawed frog) is the source of this 1209-nucleotide long non-coding RNA. RefSeq lists it as uncharacterized. The record is from RefSeq and is a predicted model, not a curated record. Lineage: Eukaryota; Metazoa; Chordata; Amphibia; Anura; Pipidae. The transcript has 8 exons.